CAGCAGCCGCCACGGGAAUACGUAGGUGGCAAGCGUUGUCCGGAAUUAUUGGGCGUAAAGGGCUCGCAGGCGGUUUCUUAAGUCUGAUGUGAAAGCCCCCGGCUCAACCGGGGAGGGUCAUUGGAAACUGGGAAACUUGAGUGCAGAAGAGGAGAGUGGAAUUCCACGUGUAGCGGUGAAAUGCGUAGAGAUGUGGAGGAACACCAGUGGCGAAGGCGACUCUCUGGUCUGUAACUGACGCUGUGGAGCGAAAGCGUGGGGAGCGAACAGGAUUAGAUACCCGGGUAGUCCCUGUCUCUUAUAU
Molecule: ribosomal RNA, 304 nt
Filed under: uncultured bacterium
Lineage: Bacteria
Description: partial 16S ribosomal RNA
Rfam family: Bacterial small subunit ribosomal RNA
Source: RNAcentral